CAAGAGCGUAUAUUAAAGUUGUUGCAGUUAAAAAGCUCGUAGUUGGAUUUCUGGUCAAAUGCGCCUGGCCCGCGGCCGUAAGGUCUGUGAGUGCCGGUGCGCGUUUACCAUCCUUCUAGAAAACGUUUCUACCCUUUACUGGGCCGGACUCGCGAUCUAGAUCUUUUACUUUGAAAAAUUAGAGUGUUUAAAGCAGGCUUUUGCUAUGAAUACAUUAGCAUGGAAUAAUAAUCUAGGACUUCGGUUCUUACUUUUGUUUGGUUUUCUUAGUACUGAAGUAAUAGAUUGAUAGGGAGUAGUUGGGGGUUGGCGUAGUAUUGGUCCGGGCCGACGAGGUGAAAUUACUUGGAUUCGGUCAAGACUAACUUAUG
RNAcentral lists this ribosomal RNA (371 nucleotides) under uncultured eukaryote. RNAcentral's name for it is "bacterial SSU rRNA". It matches the Rfam family "Eukaryotic small subunit ribosomal RNA", at positions 592 to 945 of the family's 1831-position model. The record is from RNAcentral.